This 305-nucleotide ribosomal RNA is filed under the name uncultured bacterium. Its description in RNAcentral is "bacterial SSU rRNA". It matches the Rfam family "Bacterial small subunit ribosomal RNA", at positions 334 to 656 of the family's 1533-position model. The record is from RNAcentral.
UAUACCUACGGGAGGCAGCAGUGGGGAAUAUUGCACAAUGGGGGAAACCCUGAUGCAGCGACGCCGCGUGAGUGAGGAAGUAUUUCGGUAUGUAAAGCUCUAUCAGCAGGGAAGAAAAUGACGGUACCUGACUAAGAAGCCCCGGCUAACUACGUGCCAGCAGCCGCGGUAAUACGUAGGGGGCAAGCGUUAUCCGGAUUUACUGGGUGUAAAGGGAGCGUAGACGGAGGAGCAAGUCUGAUGUGAAAAUCCGGGGCUCAACCCUGGGACUGCUUUGGAAACUGUGGAGCUAGAGUGCUGGAGAG